AUGUAUGCUGGUUCCAACCCUGCCUUGGAGAUGAGGAACUCUGAGAUGCGCUGCAGCCUACCACCUGAACGUCUUCUUCAAGUGCUCCACUUUGGCGUCGAUCUUCUCCUUGCUGAGGCGUGCAAUAGUCAACAACGCGCGCCUGAACAUCGCAGAGCCACAGGGCACACCAAUACCUUCGGCUCGUGCCGCCACUGCCCGGACGUACUCUAAGUUUGAGGUGAGCAGCCAUGGUUGAACGAUACACAACUUGGCAAUGUCGCAAUUACCUAG
RNAcentral lists this ribosomal RNA (273 nucleotides) under Triticum aestivum (bread wheat). RNAcentral's name for it is "partial small subunit ribosomal RNA". Lineage: Eukaryota; Viridiplantae; Streptophyta; Magnoliopsida; Poales; Poaceae. The record is from RNAcentral.